This 1573-nucleotide long non-coding RNA is filed under the name Apis dorsata (giant honeybee). RNAcentral describes it as "uncharacterized LOC102671073, transcript variant X2". The record is from RNAcentral. Lineage: Eukaryota; Metazoa; Arthropoda; Insecta; Hymenoptera; Apidae.
GAAAAUUAUUCCCAAACAAUCAUUCUACACACUAUACCUAUUUCUGAAAAAUAUUCUCUCGAGACUAUCCGCGCCCUAAAAGAAGGAAGGAAGGAAGACGGAGGCAGAGAAAAUAGCCGUGUGACUCCCUUUCGUAUGUCUCGACGUCUACGACUUUCAUCUCGACGUUUUUCUCUAUUUCACUUCCGGUCGCCGGAUUUUAAAGCUGAUUCUAAAGUUGAACGCGGCUUUAAGGGCCUCGUGUAUACACUCGAUCGGUCUGGCGCACAAAUACCAAGCUUGGAAUUUUACGAUCGCGUUUGUAGAGAAACUAUCGCUCCAUUUUCCACGUUCCUAUCGUUCUGACAUUUCGUUUCCUUCGUUCCUUUUUCGAACGUCCGUUUACGUUAUAUUUUCUCGUUUUGCCUUUCUUAUCCUAUGUCGUUCUUGUUUACUGAUCGUCUAGGCUCGUAAGGGAUGAGGAAUAGUUAGUUGGUAAAUUCACGGCCGUGACACACGAUCUCGAAACGGACCAUGCUUCCGUGCGAAAUGAAAUGGUGGAGUGUUGUUAAAUUAAGAGUGAGGUUAGGAUUUUCUAAAUGAUGUUAGGAACUAUAAUAUUAAAUAAAAAUGAUAAAGAAUAUAAGAAAUGUUAGACAUUCGGAUAAACACACAAUUCGAGAAGUGUCACCUAUUUUUCAAAACUUGUUUUGGUGAAUAAGACUUCGAAGACUUUUUUCAGCGUUUUUAAAGAGCACGCAUGAAACAUGUUGAUUGUAUAUCUAUUUUUUUCUCCUUUUGAAGAAACCAAAGUACUCUCGAGCUCAUUGUGCCCCGUGUUCUUUACGUACGAAUGCCUUCUAUUCUUCUCUCGACGUCCAUUGUCUGAUUUUUCUUCAAAAUAAAAAGCGCUAUUCAAAUCGCGAGGAAUAAAAAUUACAGAGAAAAAAACUUAACAACGUUGUAAUAUUUUAUCACGGUCAAAACAAUUUUACCUGUUUCUUCGAAUUAAUUUUUCGACGAGUAAUGAAGAUCGAUUAAUUUUAAUGACAUACCAUCGAGACACGUAUCUAAUAAUCAUAAUUUCACAUUGCAAAGCUGAAGGUAGAAGAGAGUGAUGUUAAAAAUGAUUAAUCGAUUAUUACUUUCUUUCUUGCAUCCUUCGCAGAAAUUAAUUAUGCAUUGCUAAAGUGAAUUGCCCAUAAGCAUGACGCUGCGUGAAACUUUUCAAUUUGUCAAAAAAUCGUCGCAAGAGGGAGCUUUGAUCGGUGGGCGAUUAUUAUUUCACUGUGAAAGGGCCUUUUCAUACAGAUACAUGGCGGGAUGUUCGCCGCGGCAAGAUUAUUCCGCGACUAAAGGAUAUUUCUGACCGAGAAUGUGCAAAACUAUGCUCGACAAGUCAUUUCUGCGCAGGGAGAGAAUAUUCGAAGAAACAUAUCGAGCGGAACAAUAACUCUUUUGUGUUGGGAUAUCCGCGUGUAAAAAUUCCCUUGCCUUUCCAUCAUUCGUUUCAUAUAGAAUUUAAUAUGAUGAAUCUGAUAGAAAGUGGUGAUUUUUAUUCUGUGAAAAAUAAAUUGAAUAUCAUUAGAAGAUA